Molecule: ribosomal RNA, 349 nt
Filed under: Lioadalia flavomaculata
Lineage: Eukaryota; Metazoa; Arthropoda; Insecta; Coleoptera; Coccinellidae
Description: partial 12S ribosomal RNA
Source: RNAcentral
UUAAAUGUAAUUAUUUUAAGCUAAGUGAUUAAUAGUUAAGUUCUUUAAAGCUAAAUAAUUUGGCGGUAUUUUAAUCUUUUCAGAGGAACCUGUUCUGUAAUUGAUAAUCCACGAUAGAAUUUACUUUAAUUAGAAAUUUUUAUAUCGUCGUUUUUAAAUAUUUUAAAAGAAGUUAAUAUUUAUAAUUUUUUAAUUAGAAAAUAAUUCAGAUCAAGGUGAAGUUUAUAUUAAAGAAGCAAUGGGUUACAUUAAAUUUUAUUUAUGGAUUUUUAAUUGAAAAAUUAGUUUGAAAUUGGAUUUGAAUGUAAUUAAUUUAACUUUUUUUUAAUGAUUUAGCACUAAAAUAUGC